This 77-nucleotide transfer RNA is filed under the name Desulfosporosinus youngiae DSM 17734. Its description in RNAcentral is "tRNA-Ile". It matches the Rfam family "tRNA". Rfam says of the family: Transfer RNA (tRNA) molecules are approximately 80 nucleotides in length. Their secondary structure includes four short double-helical elements and three loops (D, anti-codon, and T loops). The record is from RNAcentral. RNAcentral also lists the same sequence under 5 other names. Lineage: Bacteria; Bacillati; Bacillota; Clostridia; Eubacteriales; Desulfitobacteriaceae.
GGGCCUGUAGCUCAGUUGGUUAGAGCGCACGACUGAUAAUCGUGAGGUCGAUGGUUCGAAUCCAUCUAGGCCCACCA